UACGUAGGUCCCGAGCGUUGUCCGGAUUUAUUGGGCGUAAAGCGAGCGCAGGUGGUUUAUUAAGUCUGGUGUAAAAGGCAGUGGCUCAACCAUUGUAUGCAAUGGAAACUGGUAGACUUGAGUGCAGGAGAGGAGAGUGGAAUUCCAUGUGUAGCGGUGAAAUGCGUAGAUAUAUGGAGGAACACCGGUGGCGAAAGCGGCUCUCUGGCCUGUAACUGACACUGAGGCUCGAAAGCGUGGGGAGCAAACAGG
Molecule: ribosomal RNA, 252 nt
Filed under: uncultured bacterium
Lineage: Bacteria
Description: partial 16S ribosomal RNA
Rfam family: Bacterial small subunit ribosomal RNA
Source: RNAcentral